CAAAAAUCUAUAUAGUAAUAAGAAAAGAUAGUCGAGCCCCGAAUUAACGAACCCGGAAUUAACGAAUUUCGUGAUUCAACGAAUUACUUUCAUGGUCCCGAUACGAAUUGAUUAAAAUUCCCUGAUUUAACGAAUAAAGAACCUUGAUUCAACGAACGCUCAAUGGAAUGUUUUUUAGAAAAAGAAUCGCAUAUUGGGGAAAAAUGUGUCAAAUCACUUCCAAGAAAACUACUGUAUGUAUUCAUUUAGACUUGAAUCAGUAUAAGUUUAGAAUCUGGGGCUGUAUUCUGGUCACUGUAUCUCUCAGAGACGAAAGACAUGACUACGUCAGUACAUACGUACUGUACUGCACUGUUUACUGUAUUGUACCUGUAUGUUCUUAAAAUUUUAAUUUAGUACAUCCAAAAUUUUAUUUUUGUAUAUUCAUUAGUUGUACAGUACAGUACAGUAUAAGAUUCAC
This 460-nucleotide long non-coding RNA is filed under the name Androctonus crassicauda. The record is from RNAcentral. Lineage: Eukaryota; Metazoa; Arthropoda; Arachnida; Scorpiones; Buthidae.